This is a small nuclear RNA of Mesocricetus auratus (golden hamster), 105 nucleotides long. The record is from Ensembl. Lineage: Eukaryota; Metazoa; Chordata; Mammalia; Rodentia; Cricetidae.
UUGCUUCAGCAGCACUUAUAAUAAACAUUGGAACAAUACAGAGAAGAUUAGCAAGGCCCCUGCGCAAAGAGAAUAUUUAUACACAUAGAAAAAAAAUCAUUACAU